AGUUGUAAUUGGUUGUUGCAAUAAGUGCCUUGAACUAGGUUGGAUAAUUCCUGCAGAUAACAUCUCAGCAACCAAUUUCUCAAUUUCAUCUUUUUGUCCAUGAGCAUAGCGAUAAGGACGCACACUAAUUGGAGUGAUAUCCGGCAAUAACGGAAUUCGAUGGUCUGUUGGCCUAUUUGGAGGCAAACCAAAAUUGUCAUUAAACACUGGUUGAAACUGUUCUAGUAGGACCCGUAGCUGAUCCUGUUUUUCCCUUUCUAAAUUGGCAUCUGUAAGAGUGAGUCUCAUCUCUGGUGAAGCUUCCCAGAGUAGUGUAUAAUAUUCAACAUCAUCUAAUUUUUCAAUAGAAGACAUAGAAGCCAAAGCUCUAGUUAAUGAAGAAUCCCCUAUCAACGAUACUAUUGAUCCAUUAUGAUUAAAGGACAUUGUCAUUUUUGCCCAAUUAACCUUCACGUCACCCAGUGUCUCAAGCCAAGCAAUUCCCAGAAUCAUAUCCACACCCCCCAAAGGAAAUAAAUAACAAUCAGUUUGAAUAUUGAAAGAUCCGAAUUCCACAAUCAAAUUAGUACACAUACCGCGUGAUUCAGACCGAUGACCAUCGCCCAGUUUUACUCCAAAAAUGGGAGUGGAUUGAACAGGUAAUCCUAACUGAGUCACCAGAUUAUUUGCGAUGAAAUUGUGGCUCGCCCCACUAUCUACCAUCACUGUCAAUUCAUGCCCCUUCAGCCUUCCUCGAAUUUUCAUCGUCUUCGGUCGAGAAAUUCCACCUACCGAAAACAACGGCAGUUCCAAUUGAGUGAGUUGGCCCUCAUCCGCCUCUGUGAUUACCAUAGGACUCUGUUUAGUUUCCCCGCCCUCUGGUUCGCCUUCUUCCGAUGUUUCCUCGUCAUCUCCAACAAUAAUUACUCGUAACGUCUUCUUUGGGCAUACAUGCAUAGGGUGAUACGGCUGCUUGCAACGAUAGCACAGUCCCUUCGUUCGUAACUCUUCAAACUCCUGGUGGGAAAGAUGACGAGUUCCUCUACUUUUGUUGGAGAAUUGCUGCUGACUCUUGUUUUGCGUUAAUGGUGGAGCUGGCAAUCUUUGAAUUUCUUUCUGUGCAAUAUUUCCAACCCUAGACUGAACUUUCUCUUUAUUUGCCCCUACCCAGUCAGUUUGAGCCUUAAAUUGUUGUUGGACUUGCUUAGAAAAGCCCAUGCCUCCAGCUUUAUAACUUGGCCCAGAACCAAAGCUCCAUCGUCCUCCUACAUCUGGUGAUUUCUCACCAACAAUCUUUGUCAUUCCAGUGUGCAAGAGCUCUCUUUCAACUUCUCGAGCUAGAGUCAUCAAUUGAAAAUGUCUCCAGUAUCCUGGGAUCAAAUCCUUUCUCGUAUUUCUGCCUUUAAUCCAUUCAAGAAAAACCCAAUAUAAAACUGGUCUGUAAUUCCAGGAACUUGUGCCGCUCUUGCCACAAAUUCAUCAAUAAAAUCAUCUACUGACCCAUCUUGGCGAACAGCUGCCAACCUUUCAUAAGGGCUAGCAAAUGCACCUCCCCCAAACCUUUGCAACAAUUCCACUGAUAAUUGUUCCCAAGUCAUAUUUGGUGAUCUUUGUUUCAACCAACGUACCCAAUGUAAUGCAGCACCUUCCAUACAAAUCAGAGCCAAAGGAACUUCCAUCUCCACAGGGGUUCGAUGAGUAGAAAAAUAUUGGUUAGCGCGAGCCAACCACCCUACAGGAUCUUGUCCGUCGAAAUUAGGUAGCUCCACUUUUUUGGCAGUAACUUGUGAAUCGUCCAUGACUACCAAAGGAACCUGGUUGCGCCGGCUAGAUGUUUGUCCCAGAUGUGUAUAUUGCAAUGGAGAGGCUGAUAUCCCUUCUGAUUCUGUUUCAUUAACUUUUCCCUUUAGCAACUGUGCUAUCAUGCUUUCCAAUAAGUCUAGCUUCUCUAAUCGUUUCCUUUUCUGAGCCAUCUCCUCCAUAACUCCACUUACCUUUCUCUCAUUCUGCUCCCGUUCUCCUGCCAUUCUUACCAACCCUUCUUCCAAUGCACCUAAACUCCUCUCUAUCGCGUCUACUCUAGAAUCCAUCCGAGUGUUUGGCAUUCACGCUGUUUUGGAUCCGGCAAGUCGAACCAAAUUGAUAGAGUUAGGAAAU
RNAcentral lists this unclassified non-coding RNA (2136 nucleotides) under Hevea brasiliensis (rubber tree). Lineage: Eukaryota; Viridiplantae; Streptophyta; Magnoliopsida; Malpighiales; Euphorbiaceae. The record is from RNAcentral.